RNAcentral lists this ribosomal RNA (429 nucleotides) under Bacteroidota bacterium. RNAcentral describes it as "Bacteroidetes bacterium partial 16S ribosomal RNA". It matches the Rfam family "Bacterial small subunit ribosomal RNA", at positions 355 to 776 of the family's 1533-position model. Lineage: Bacteria; Pseudomonadati; Bacteroidota. The record is from RNAcentral.
UAGGGAAUCUUCGGCAAUGGGGGGAACCCUGACCGAGCAACGCCGCGUGAGUGAAGAAGGUUUUCGGAUCGUAAAGCUCUGUUGUUAAGGAAGAACGAGUGUGAGAAUGGAAAGUUCAUACUGUGACGGUACUUAACCAGAAAGGGACGGCUAACUACGUGCCAGCAGCCGCGGUAAUACGUAGGGGGCUAGCGUUGUCCGGAAUCACUGGGCGUAAAGGGAUCGCAGGCGGAAAUGCAAGUCAGGUGUAAAAGGCAGUAGCUUAACUACUGUAAGCAUUUGAAACUGCAUAUCUUGAGAAGAGUAGAGGUAAGUGGAAUUUUUAGUGUAGCGGUGAAAUGCGUAGAUAUUAAAAAGAAUACCGGUGGCGAAGGCGACUUACUGGGCUCAUUCUGACGCUGAGGAACGAAAGCGUGGGUAGCAAACAGG